Long non-coding RNA from Apis mellifera (honey bee), 2405 nucleotides. RefSeq lists it as uncharacterized. The transcript is spliced from 3 exons. The record is from RefSeq and is a predicted model, not a curated record. Lineage: Eukaryota; Metazoa; Arthropoda; Insecta; Hymenoptera; Apidae.
AAAGCAAUCAAUCAAAAUACAUUCAAGCAAGAAACAGAGAUAAACAGGAAGGAAAAAGGGCUUUUCCGAGUUAUUUAACGGGUAUAAAGGGGCGCAUCGAAACAGCAAUGCAAUCAGAUGAUAAAUCACAAAAAUGAACGGCCAUAAUAAAUCUCACUUACACGAUUAAUAGGUAAAACGCAUCAGCCAGAAAAUGGAGGCCCCAAUCGAAUUUUCCUCAUUGCAUUUUUAUUCAUAUCCUGUUAACUUUAUUCCCUAUAAAAUAUCCCAAAAAAUAAUUCCGAAAAAAGUAAUUGUACGGCCAACAAUAAUCAAGUGCGUAAAUCUGAGAAAAAUUGCAAUCAAAUUGGCUAACUUUUAUUUACAUUUUUUAUAAAUAAAUUUGGAUUGUUGAAUCUAUUUGGACACGAAUAAAAUUUCGUUUGAAUAUCAUUAUUACUUUUAAAAAUUGUACAACAAUUAAAUUCGAGAAAUUUAUUGGAUAAUAAAGUAAAAAUAUUAAUAAAUCGCAUUUUUUGAAAGCUCAGAACAUUAUACAAAUUUGAAAGAAGUAAACACAAGAAUAUAUUUAGUAGAAUAUUUUCCAAGUUCGCCCACAGACAAAAGAACCAACAAGCAAGCACAUCGUUAAUGAAACUGAAAGACAAACGAAAUCGAGCAUUCCUUCAUCGUUAUAAAUAUAUAAAAUAAUCAAAAAUCGAAAAGCAAAGAAUGAAAAAGAAAAAAUUCAACACAAAUUAAGUUCACGAAAGUUCACAGAAGCAAUAAAUAUCGAUGAAAAAUCGAGAAAAAUAAUUUUAGAUAGAACGGUUUAUGACAAGCUGUAUGACGAUUAAAUGGAAUGGAACACUGUGCAAGAAGAACGUACGCUGGAAGGGUCAGUUUGUGGGUUAAGUGGUCGUAUUACGUUCAAGCCUGGGACGUGGUUGAACUUUCCACAUAUGGGGACGAAGAGGGACGAUUUAACUGUCUCUGGGAGGAUGUUAGGCUUGUGAAGUUAUUCUAAAGUUUGUUCCAACGUUGGUUAUUAUACAAGUUAAUGUCGCUUAAUUUCUUUCCUCCGGAAAUAGAAUGUUAAUUUAAUCCUUGCACGGUUAAUGAAUUGAAAAUCCUUUAAGAUAUUAUUAUGAUUAAAAUAAUAACCAUAUAAUUCCGGUAUAUGUGAAAGAUAAAUGUUAUUGGAGAAAGGAUUAUUAGAGAUGGAAUUUUUUAUUUAACUUUAAUCAUUAUUUAUACAGAAACUAACUAAUUAUUAAGAAAGGAUAGUAUUUAUGAAUAUUAAAUUUGUAAAGGAAACGUUAUAACCAAAAUCAUGUUUAUUAUACGAGUAUUACAUUAAUCUUUGAGCAAGUUGCUUAAUAAUAUUCAACAAUAUUCUCACAAAAUCAUUUACCCUCUUCAUCAUUUAACAAUUUCAAGAUGGAUUCAUAAUUUCUUCUCCAGUUUACGUUCCUCAAUAUAUAACAUAUCUAAAAUAAUAAAACUGAAAGAAACAUCAAUUAACGUUUCAUGUAAAUGCAAAAUAACAAGAUAUCGAGCUUUCUAAUUCUGGAACGCCUGGCUCUUGUGGAAGAAGCAGUAUUUCCUCUCAUAAGUCUGUUACCUCAUACAUCGGCUCCCUCCUCGUGAUAUGUGUUCACGAAGCUCGCGAGAGGAAGAAACAUGCACGAGAGCACGAAGGGGGGUCGAUCCUGACGCGAGCUAUAGCUCUUCGAAUCAGACAGCCGGUCAAAGAAGGAGAAGAAGGUCACGGAAAAAGGAAGCGAGAGGAAGUGGAAGAGGAGGAAGAAGAGGAGACGCAGGAUGGUAGCAGAGCCAGACUGGACGGCGCUGGUCUCGUCGCUCGCGUGGUAAACAAAGCUGUAACUCUCCUCUCGCGGAGAGGAAUCAAUGGUUGGUAGCGGAGCUCUUCGAGGUACAAACUCGCGGAGUACCAAACCCUCUCGGAGGCAUCCAUCUUAGUUUUGGCGUAACGUGCAUGCUGAUGCACUCGUGGGGAAUGCUGUCACAGAAUGGUUUAAAAAAAAGUAUAACAGAUAUAGAAAGUUGUUAGAGGCGUUCUUUUGGAGGAAAAAAUCAUCGAGUUUACGGUCGAGUUUUUUUUAAAAAGUUUUUUUAAAGAAGCCGAGAUGAAAGCAGUGAUUUUCUAACUUGAAAUUAAUGAUUCGUGAAAACUUGGAGCUGUGAAUGCUUAGCAUUUCGUGGAUCGUCUGCCACAAAUCUCUUCUCAGACAUCUAUCUUACUUGCUGCGAACAGUUGACGUUUUUGAUACGUGAACGCAGGCAAAACGAACCAUGAAAGAUCGUAUUGUUGGUAGUUUAGAUCAUUUUUCUUGAGACUUCCACUGUAGAAUACAUUUACGAUUGUUUUUCUUUAACAAAAACUGACUGUAUUAUUUAUUUUU